AACGAACGCUGGCGGCGUGGAUUAGGCAUGCAAGUCGAACGCGAAAGAGGGGGAAACCCCUCUAGUAGAGUGGCGAACGGGUGAGUAACGCGUGAAGAACCUGCCUUCAACAGGGGGAUAACACUCCCAACGGGGUGCUAAUACCGCAUGAGACCACGGGAUCGCAUGGUCCUGAGGUCAAAGGUGGCCUCUAUUUAUAAGCUACCGGUUGAAGAUGGCUUCGCGUCCCAUUAGCUAGUUGGCGGUGUAAAAGACCACCAAGGCGACGAUGGGUAGCUGGUCUGAGAGGAUGGUCAGCCGCACUGGGACUGAGAUACGGCCCAGACUCCUACGGGAGGCAGCAGUCGAGAGGCUUUGUCAAUGGGGGAAACCCUGAACAAGCGACGCCGCGUGGAGGAUGAAGGCCCUUGGGUUGUAAACUCCUUUUGCUAGGGAAGAAAUGCGAUCAGGUGAACAAUCUGGUCGUUUGACGGUACCUGGCGAAUAAGCUCCGGCUAACUCCGUG
This 505-nucleotide ribosomal RNA is filed under the name uncultured bacterium. RNAcentral describes it as "bacterial SSU rRNA". It matches the Rfam family "Bacterial small subunit ribosomal RNA", at positions 29 to 507 of the family's 1533-position model. The record is from RNAcentral.